This 906-nucleotide ribosomal RNA is filed under the name Kurthia gibsonii. RNAcentral describes it as "bacterial SSU rRNA". It matches the Rfam family "Bacterial small subunit ribosomal RNA", at positions 1 to 892 of the family's 1533-position model. Lineage: Bacteria; Bacillati; Bacillota; Bacilli; Caryophanales; Caryophanaceae. The record is from RNAcentral.
AUUGGGUGGGGGGGGGGUGGGGGGUUUUUUUUUAGGUUUUUUCAUACUCUGAACAGGCGCGGCGGCCUAAUACAUCAAGUCGAGCGAAGACGAGAAGCUGCUUUAUGAUUAGCGGCGACGGGUGAGUAACACGGGGCAACCUGCCCUACAGAUCCGGUAACUCAGGAAACAUGGGAUAAUACAGGAUAAUCCUUCGAAUCACAUGUUUGAAGUGAAUGGUCUUUAGGCGUCACUCAGGAGGGGCCCGCGUUGCAUUAGUUAGUUGGUGGGGUAACGGCGUACCAAGGCAACGAUGUAUAUCGGACCUGAGAGGGUGAUCGGCCACACUGGGAGUGAGACACGGCCCAAAGUCUUACGGGAGGCACCACUAGGGAAUUUUCCACACUGGGGGAAAGUCUGAUGUAGCAACGCCGCGUGAGUGAGGAAGGUUUUUGGAUGGUAAAACUCUGUUGUAAGGGAAGAAAAAGUACGUUAGGAAAUGAACGUACCUUGACGGUACCUUAUUAGAAAGCCACGGCUAAAUACGUGCCAGCAGCCGCGGUAAUACGUAGGUGGCGAGCGUUGUCCUGAUUUAUUGGGCGUAAAGCGCGCGCACGUGGUUUUUUAAGUGUGAUGUGAAAGCUCCCGGCUCAACCCUGGAGGGUCAUUGGAAACUGGGGAACUUGAGUGCAGAAGAGGAUAGUGGAAUUCCAAGUGUAGCGCUGAAAUGUGUAGAGAUUUGGAGGAACACCAGUGGCGAAGGGGACUGUCUGGUCUGUAACUGACACUGAGGCGCGAAAGCGUGGGGAGCGAACACGAUUAGAUACCCUGGUAGUCCACGCCGUAAACGAUGAGUGCUAAGUGUUAGGGGGUUCCGCCCCUUAGUGAUGCAGCUAACGCAGUAAGCAUCCGCCUGGAGUACGCAAG